UGGGGAAUCUUGGACAAUGGGGGAAACCCUGAUCCAGCGACGCCGCGUGGGUGAUGAAGGCCUUCGGGUCGUAAAGCCCUGUCGGGAGGGAAGAAACUCCUGCCGGUGAACAAUCGGCGGGAUUGACGGUACCUUCUAAGGAAGCACCGGCUAACUCUGUGCCAGCAGCCGCGGUAAGACAGAGGGUGCAAGCGUUGUUCGGAAUUACUGGGCGUAAAGGGCGCGUAGGCGGUCCGCUAAGUUCGGUGUGAAAUCCCCUGGCUCAACUGGGGAACUGCGCCGGAAACUGGCAGACUCGAGUACCGGAGAGGAGGGUGGAAUUCCUGGUGUAGCGGUGAAAUGCGUAGAUAUCAGGAGGAACACCGGUGGCGAAGGCGGCCCUCUGGACGAGUACUGACGCUGAGGCGCGAAAGCGUGGGGAUCAAACAG
Molecule: ribosomal RNA, 429 nt
Filed under: uncultured bacterium
Lineage: Bacteria
Description: bacterial SSU rRNA
Rfam family: Bacterial small subunit ribosomal RNA
Source: RNAcentral